This 253-nucleotide ribosomal RNA is filed under the name uncultured bacterium. Its description in RNAcentral is "partial 16S ribosomal RNA". It matches the Rfam family "Bacterial small subunit ribosomal RNA", at positions 524 to 776 of the family's 1533-position model. The record is from RNAcentral.
UACGUAGGGACCGAGCGUUGUCCGGAAUCAUUGGGCGUAAAGAGCGUGUAGGCGGCUUGUUAAGUCUUGCGUGAAAUCUCGGGGCUCAACCCCGAGCGGUCGUGAGAAACUGGCAGGCUAGAGUGCGGGAGAGGAGAGUGGAAUUCCUGGUGUAGCGGUGAAAUGCGCAGAUAUCAGGAAGAACACCCGUGGCGAAGGCGGCUCUCUGGGCCGAUACUGACGCUGAGGAGCGAAAGCGUGGGGAGCGAACAGG